Molecule: ribosomal RNA, 247 nt
Filed under: uncultured bacterium
Lineage: Bacteria
Description: partial 16S ribosomal RNA
Rfam family: Bacterial small subunit ribosomal RNA
Source: RNAcentral
AUACGUAGGGAGCGAGCGUUGUCCGGAAUUACUGGGCGUAAAGGGCGCGUAGGCGGGUAUUUAAGUCAGAUGUGAAAGCUCCGGGCUUAACUUGGAGAGUGCAUUUGAAACUGGAUAUCUUGAGGGCAGGAGAGGAAAGUGGAAUUCCUAGUGUAGCGGUGGAAUGCGUAGAUAUUAGGAGGAACACCAGUGGCGAAGGCGACCACCUGGCCAGAUACUGACGCUGAGGUGCGAAAGCGUGGGGAGC